GACGAACGCUGGCGGCGUGCCUAAUACAUGCAAGUAGAACGCUGAAGGAGGAGCUUGCUUCUCCGGAUGAGUUGCGAACGGGUGAGUAACGCGUAGGUAACCUGCCUGGUAGCGGGGGAUAACUAUUGGAAACGAUAGCUAAUACCGCAUAACAGUAGAUGUUGCAUGACAUUUGCUUAAAAGGUGCAAUUGCAUCACUACCAGAUGGACCUGCGUUGUAUUAGCGAGUUGGUGAGGUAACGGCUCACCAAGGCGACGAUACAUAGCCGACCUGAGAGGGUGAUCGGCCACACUGGGACUGAGACACGGCCCAGACUCCUACGGGAGGCAGCAGUAGGGAAUCUUCGGCAAUGGACGGAAGUCUGACCGAGCAACGCCGCGUGAGUGAAGAAGGUUUUCGGAUCGUAAAGCUCUGUUGUAAGAGAAGAACGAGUGUGAGAGUGGAAAGUUCACACUGUGACGGUAUCUUACCAGAAAGGGACGGCUAACUACGUG
This 495-nucleotide ribosomal RNA is filed under the name uncultured bacterium. RNAcentral describes it as "partial 16S ribosomal RNA". It matches the Rfam family "Bacterial small subunit ribosomal RNA", at positions 28 to 507 of the family's 1533-position model. The record is from RNAcentral.